This 238-nucleotide ribosomal RNA is filed under the name uncultured bacterium. RNAcentral's name for it is "partial 16S ribosomal RNA". It matches the Rfam family "Bacterial small subunit ribosomal RNA", at positions 100 to 334 of the family's 1533-position model. The record is from RNAcentral.
CGGAACGGGUGAGUAACGCGUGAGGAACCUGCCUCAAAGAGGGGGACAACAGUUGGAAACGACUGCUAAUACCGCAUAAGCCCACGGGUCGGCAUCGACCUGAGGGAAAAGGAGCAAUCCGCUUUGAGAUGGCCUCGCGUCCGAUUAGCUAGUUGGUGAGGUAAUGGCCCACCAAGCCGACGAUCAGUAGCCGACCUGAGAGGGUGACCGGCCACAUUGGGACUGAGACACGGCCCAG